GCAAGUCGAACGAAACUGCGAAAUGCUUGCAUUUCAAAGUUUAGUGGCGAACGGGUGAGUAACACGUAGGAAACCUACCUCUAAGACGAGGAUAACUGUGAGAAAUUACAGCUAAUACUGGAUAAGUAAUUAAAUCGCAUGAUUUAAUUAUUAAAGAGGCUUUUGGCCUUGCUUAGAGAUGGUCCUGCGGUGCAUUAGCUAGUUGGUAAGGUAAUGGCUUACCAAGGCGAUGAUGCAUAGCCGACCUGAGAGGGUGAUC
RNAcentral lists this ribosomal RNA (259 nucleotides) under uncultured bacterium. Its description in RNAcentral is "partial 16S ribosomal RNA". It matches the Rfam family "Bacterial small subunit ribosomal RNA", at positions 57 to 305 of the family's 1533-position model. The record is from RNAcentral.